CACGGUGGCACAGUGACACGGUGGCACAGCACCACAGGGCAGCCAGCAGCUCACCAGAGCCCAGCUCCACCAAGCAAAACCAGGAUAUUUCUGCAGCAUUGGAGAAAAUUAAUGGACUGAUAAUAGAAGAAAUCUCCAGGUUUGGGGACUGGGAGGUUGAAGUGCCAAUCCUUGCUGGGCAACCCGAGAGCAGCUGGCAAGAGCCUUGCACAGAGCCUGUGUGACCCACUCUGAGCUGUCAGUCAGGAGCAAGAUGAGGGCUUCACUGGCAACGUGUUCUCAUCUCUCUCGAUGAGCAGCGCUAAAAUAGGAGACAGUAAAGGAUUGGUCCUGUCUGUUGGUGAGACUUCUCAGAAUCAGAGAUGUUUGGAUUCAAAUUCCAGCCUUUUAUUCCUGUCUAAGCCCCUCUGCUGCACAGACUGCAGUGAGCUACAGCUGCCAAGUUGUUUCUCGUGCUGUCACUACAGCAGUGGUGACACUUUGGUCUCAGCCCGACCUUGCAGCCUCACCUAAAGCAGCACAACACUCCUGGGGAUUCCUGCAGGCACAGAGCUUUGCCGUGCUGACAAACAUCAGCAGGCUGAAGUGGCACAGGAGCUCCAAGGAGCACCAGGAGCCACCAGCAAUGCCCCACCAGGCUGGUUGA
Cyanistes caeruleus (blue tit) is the source of this 646-nucleotide non-coding RNA. NCBI's taxonomy places the organism in Eukaryota, Metazoa, Chordata, Aves, Passeriformes, Paridae. The record is from RefSeq and is a predicted model, not a curated record.